ACCACCACCGGCGAACCAGUCCCGCGAGAACGCCGCUCGCGGCGCGCGGCCCCGGGGACGCGCGUCCCGACGAGCUCCGAACAACGACCCUCUGGGCGCGGAGAGCGCCAAGGAAUCGAAGCGGAAAGGGCGGCGGCGGCCCCGCCCGGCGCGGGCGCACGGGGAUGCGGCGCCGCCCGUCUGUGAAAAUCUUUUAGACGACUCUCGGCAACGGAUAUCUCGGCUCUCGCAUCGAUGAAGAACGUAGCGAAAUGCGAUACUUGGUGUGAAUUGCAGAAUCCCGUGAACCAUCGAGUCUUUGAACGCAAGUUGCGCCCGAGGCCACCCGGCCGAGGGCACGCCUGCCUGGGCGUCACGCCGCCCAUCGCCUCCCCCCGCGGCAUUCCCAUGCCCCGACGGGGAGCGGAGACUGGCCGUCCGUGCCCGGGCAACCGGCGCGCGGUCGGCAGAAAAGGAGGACACCGUGCGGCGCGACACGGCGUGUGGGGGUUGAGAGGCGACCGGUCGCCGAUCGUACGUCGCGCCCGCAUUCCGCCGCGCGGUGCCGCCCGCGGGACCAUACCCGCCCGCAGCCGCGGGCGCUCGGACCGCGACCCCAGG
This 600-nucleotide ribosomal RNA is filed under the name Kuloa ikonyokpe. RNAcentral's name for it is "eukaryotic LSU rRNA". The stretch from base 200 to 355 matches the Rfam family "5.8S ribosomal RNA". The record is from RNAcentral. Lineage: Eukaryota; Viridiplantae; Streptophyta; Magnoliopsida; Laurales; Lauraceae.